This 681-nucleotide ribosomal RNA is filed under the name uncultured bacterium. RNAcentral's name for it is "bacterial SSU rRNA". It matches the Rfam family "Bacterial small subunit ribosomal RNA", at positions 28 to 727 of the family's 1533-position model. The record is from RNAcentral.
GACGAACGCUGGCGGCGUGCUUAACACAUGCAAGUCGAGCGGAAAGGCCCUUCGGGGUACUCGAGCGGCGAACGGGUGAGUAACACGUGAGUAACCUGCCCCUAGCUCUGGGAUAGCUCCGGGAAACCGGGAUUAAUACCAGAUACAACCACUCUAGACAUCUGUCGUGGUGGAAAGGAUUCCGGCUAGGGAUGGGCUCGCGGCCUAUCAGCUUGUUGGUGGGGUAACGGCCUACCAAGGCGACGACGGGUAGCCGGCCUGAGAGGGCGACCGGCCACACUGGGACUGAGACACGGCCCAGACUCCUACGGGAGGCAGCAGUGGGGAAUAUUGCGCAAUGGGCGAAAGCCUGACGCAGCGACGCCGCGUGGGGGAUGAAGGCCUUCGGGUUGUAAACCCCUUUCAGCAGGGACGAAGCGAGAGUGACGGUACCUGCAGAAGAAGCGCCGGCUAACUACGUGCCAGCAGCCGCGGUAACACGUAGGGCGCAAGCGUUGUCCGGAAUUAUUGGGCGUAAAGAGCUCGUAGGCGGUCUGUUGCGUCCGCUGUGAAAUCUCGGGGCUUAACCCCGAGCCUGCAGUGGAUACGGGCAGACUAGAGGUAGGUAGGGGAGAAUGGAAUUCCCGGUGUAGCGGUGAAAUGCGCAGAUAUCGGGAGGAACACCGGUGGCGAAGGCGGUUC